RNAcentral lists this ribosomal RNA (114 nucleotides) under Escherichia coli. RNAcentral's name for it is "partial 23S ribosomal RNA". It matches the Rfam family "Bacterial large subunit ribosomal RNA", at positions 1 to 106 of the family's 2925-position model. Lineage: Bacteria; Pseudomonadati; Pseudomonadota; Gammaproteobacteria; Enterobacterales; Enterobacteriaceae. The record is from RNAcentral.
GUUGUGGGGUUAAGCGACUAAGCGUACACGGUGGAUGCCCUGGCAGUCAGAGGCGAUGAAGGACGUGCUAAUCUGCGAUAAGCGUCGGUAAGGUGAUAUGAACCGUUAUAACCG